GGGCCCGCACAAGCAGCGGAGCAUGUGGUUUAAUUCGACGCAACGCGAAGAACCUUACCUGGGCUUGACAUGUAGGUGACCGCCGUGGAAACACGGUUUUCCUUCGGGACACCUUCACAGGUGGUGCAUGGCUGUCGUCAGCUCGUGUCGUGAGAUGUUGGGUUAAGUCCCGCAACGAGCGCAACCCCCGUCCUAUGUUGCCAGCAUUCAGUUGGGGACUCAUGGGAGACUGCCGGUGACAAACCGGAGGAAGGUGGGGAUGACGUCAAGUCAUCAUGCCCCUUAUGUCCAGGGCUACACACGUGCUACAUUGGCGCAUACAAAGGGUGGCAAUACCGCGAGGUGGAGCGAAUCCCAUAAAGUGCGUCUCGGUUCGGAUUGGAGGCUGAAACUCGCCUCCAUGAAGGUGGAGUUGCUAGUAAUCGCGGAUCAGCAAUGCCGCGGUGAAUACGUUCCCGGGCCUUGUACACACCGCCCGUCACACCACGAAAGCGAGCAACACCCGAAGCCGGUGGCCUAACCCUUUUGGGAGGGAGCCGUCGAAGGUGGGGCCCGUGAUUGGGGUG
Molecule: ribosomal RNA, 566 nt
Filed under: uncultured bacterium
Lineage: Bacteria
Description: bacterial SSU rRNA
Rfam family: Bacterial small subunit ribosomal RNA
Source: RNAcentral